GCGUUGGUGGUUCAACAGUAGAGCUCCCACAUUCCACGUGGGAGACCUGGGUUCCAUUCCCAGCCAAGACA
RNAcentral lists this transfer RNA (71 nucleotides) under Loxodonta africana (African savanna elephant). It matches the Rfam family "tRNA". From Rfam's summary of the family: Transfer RNA (tRNA) molecules are approximately 80 nucleotides in length. Lineage: Eukaryota; Metazoa; Chordata; Mammalia; Proboscidea; Elephantidae. The record is from Rfam by way of RNAcentral.